RNAcentral lists this ribosomal RNA (1517 nucleotides) under Triticum aestivum (bread wheat). RNAcentral describes it as "partial small subunit ribosomal RNA". The record is from RNAcentral. Lineage: Eukaryota; Viridiplantae; Streptophyta; Magnoliopsida; Poales; Poaceae.
CUCGUGCCCGUCCUUUUAUCUUCGCUCUGUGGCCAUGGACGCUCCACCCCACACCACCACCCCGCCCUCCUCCUCCACCACCCUAACCCCUCCGCCCCCACACGCCUCCCUGCAUUCCCCCAAUGGCGGCCAUUACCACCACAACCGCGUCCUCCUCCUUCCUCCACCGCCGUAUCUCCUCGUCACCACCAACAACCACCAUCCCGCUCCCGCGUAGCCACCUGGUUCCCUUCCACGCGCGCAACCGGUGCCACUACAGGCUCACCUGCCGCGCCACCGAUGUGUCCGGGGCCGAGCCCUCGGCGCCACCAGAGACCGGUGGGGGCAACAGCUGGUUACCGGUGGUGCCGCUGGCGGCGCUCCCGCGGGGAGAGCGCCGUGUGAUCGUACAGGACGGCGAGGAGAUCCUGCUUCUCUGGUACAAGGAUGAGGUCUUCGCCAUCGAGAACCGCUCCCCGGCGGAGGGCGCGUACACCGAGGGCCUCCUCAACGCCAAGCUCACGCAGGAUGGCUGCAUUGUUUGCCCAUCAACAGAUAGUACCUUUGAUCUUCGCACUGGGGAAAUAGAAGAGUGGUAUCCGAAAAACCCUGUUUUAAGGGCUCUGACACCUGUAUUGAGAAAACUAUUCGUGUACCCUGCAAAAACGGAUGGAGAAAAUAUAUACAUCAGCAUUAGGGGCGCUGCUAGCUCUGGUGGAUCAGCUGAGAUUCUGUUCAGCGGGAAAGCUCAACCAGGGAGUACUGCAUCUGAUGUCAACAUCGAAGAGGUUAGAAUGGUGGUCGAUGAAGGUGUAGGAGGUUUUGGUUUCACUGCUUACAAUGAACUGGUCAACGGAAAAGCUGCCAUAAUUGGCUUUCUAUUGUUGAUAGAUUUUGAACUUUUAACUGGUAAAGGCCUUCUAAAGGGGACUGGUUUGUUGGACUUCAUCUAUGCAAUUUCAAGUGCUUUCAGCUCGUAAAGAUGUUUUCUGUUUAGUGUGCAGUGUUAUCAAGGUAUAUCACUACUCAUCAUUCUCUUUGUGCCAGCAUUGCUGCCCUGUUAGCAUACGGAGCUCAUUGCUUCCAGUUCCUGGCUUCAGAAAUCCCAUUUUCCUGCACUUGGCUGUAUCUCAGAUGAGAUCAUUGAGUGGUUUAUGUCAAAAGAAGAUGAGAAGAUUUUAGAUCUAGGUUUUUGCUUGUUUAAUUUUUGGAUUUAUUCACUCGAACCUGAAAGAAGUGGUUUAUUCACUUGAACACUUCUAACACUUCUUUUGGGAUCGAGUGAAUAACAAGAGAUUGCUGCUUGUUAUCAUGUAAGGAGUACAACAAUACUGUAUUAUUUCCGGUGUGAAGUUUAGUGGAGCAAUCUGCUAUUCUCCUCAAGCCAGUAAAUCUGGUUUGUCACUGCCAGCUGAUUGUUUGGUUUUGAAGUAUUUAUGUACAGCAUUCGAGUGCCAGGCCGGUUAUAUUGCUAGUUGAAAUCUACCUACCUUAAUCAAGGGGGCGAUGGUUUUAUGCAUCAUCGAUGCAGAAUCAGG